UUAAGCGACUAAGCGUACACGGUGGAUGCCCUGGCAGUCAGAGGCGAUGAAGGACGUGCUAAUCUGCGAUAAGCGUCGGUAAGGUGAUAUGAACCGUUAUAACCGGCGAUUUCCGAAUGGGGAAACCCAGUGUGAUUCGUCACACUAUCAUUAACUGAAUCCAUAGGUUAAUGAGGCGAACCGGGGGAACUGAAACAUCUAAGUACCCCGAGGAAAAGAAAUCAACCGAGAUUCCCCCAGUAGCGGCGAGCGAACGGGGAGCAGCCCAGAGCCUGAAUCAGUGUGUGUGUUAGUGGAAGCGUCUGGAAAGGCGCGCGAUACAGGGUGACAGCCCCGUACACAAAAAUGCACAUGCUGUGAGCUCGAUGAGUAGGGCGGGACACGUGGUAUCCUGUCUGAAUAUGGGGGGACCAUCCUCCAAGGCUAAAUACUCCUGACUGACCGAUAGUGAACCAGUACCGUGAGGGAAAGGCGAAAAGAACCCCGGCGAGGGGAGUGAAAAAGAACCUGAAACCGUGUACGUACAAGCAGUGGGAGCACAGAGCAAUCUGUGUGACUGCGUACCUUUUGUAUAAUGGGUCAGCGACUUAUAUUCUGUAGCAAGGUUAACCGAAUAGGGGAGCCGAAGGGAAACCGAGUCUUAACUGGGCGUUAAGUUGCAGGGUAUAGACCCGAAACCCGGUGAUCUAGCCAUGGGCAGGUUGAAGGUUGGGUAACACUAACUGGAGGACCGAACCGACUAAUGUUGAAAAAUUAGCGGAUGACUUGUGGCUGGGGGUGAAAGGCCAAUCAAACCGGGAGAUAGCUGGUUCUCCCCGAAAGCUAUUUAGGUAGCGCCUCGUGAAUUCAUCUCCGGGGGUAGAGCACUGUUUCGGCAAGGGGGUCAUCCCGACUUACCAACCCGAUGCAAACUACGAAUACCGGAGAAUGUUAUCACGGGAGACACACGGCGGGUGCUAACGUCCGUCGUGAAGAGGGAAACAACCCAGACCGCCAGCUAAGGUCCCAAAGUCAUGGUUAAGUGGGAAACGAUGUGGGAAGGCCCAGACAGCCAGGAUGUUGGCUUAGAAGCAGCCAUCAUUUAAAGAAAGCGUAAUAGCUCACUGGUCGAGUCGGCCUGCGCGGAAGAUGUAACGGGGCUAAACCAUGCACCGAAGCUGCGGCAGCGACGCUUAUGCGUUGUUGGGUAGGGGAGCGUUCUGUAAGCCUGUGAAGGUGUGCUGUGAGGCAUGCUGGAGGUAUCAGAAGUGCGAAUGCUGACAUAAGUAACGAUAAAGCGGGUGAAAAGCCCGCUCGCCGGAAGACCAAGGGUUCCUGUCCAACGUUAAUCGGGGCAGGGUGAGUCGACCCCUAAGGCGAGGCCGAAAGGCGUAGUCGAUGGGAAACAGGUUAAUAUUCCUGUACUUGGUGUUACUGCGAAGGGGGGACGGAGAAGGCUAUGUUGGCCGGGCGACGGUUGUCCCGGUUUAAGCGUGUAGGCUGGUUUUCCAGGCAAAUCCGGAAAAUCAAGGCUGAGGCGUGAUGACGAGGCACUACGGUGCUGAAGCAACAAAUGCCCUGCUUCCAGGAAAAGCCUCUAAGCAUCAGGUAACAUCAAAUCGUACCCCAAACCGACACAGGUGGUCAGGUAGAGAAUACCAAGGCGCUUGAGAGAACUCGGGUGAAGGAACUAGGCAAAAUGGUGCCGUAACUUCGGGAGAAGGCACGCUGAUAUGUAGGUGAAGUCCCUCGCGGAUGGAGCUGAAAUCAGUCGAAGAUACCAGCUGGCUGCAACUGUUUAUUAAAAACACAGCACUGUGCAAACACGAAAGUGGACGUAUACGGUGUGACGCCUGCCCGGUGCCGGAAGGUUAAUUGAUGGGGUUAGCGCAAGCGAAGCUCUUGAUCGAAGCCCCGGUAAACGGCGGCCGUAACUAUAACGGUCCUAAGGUAGCGAAAUUCCUUGUCGGGUAAGUUCCGACCUGCACGAAUGGCGUAAUGAUGGCCAGGCUGUCUCCACCCGAGACUCAGUGAAAUUGAACUCGCUGUGAAGAUGCAGUGUACCCGCGGCAAGACGGAAAGACCCCGUGAACCUUUACUAUAGCUUGACACUGAACAUUGAGCCUUGAUGUGUAGGAUAGGUGGGAGGCUUUGAAGUGUGGACGCCAGUCUGCAUGGAGCCGACCUUGAAAUACCACCCUUUAAUGUUUGAUGUUCUAACGUUGACCCGUGAUCCGGGUUGCGGACAGUGUCUGGUGGGUAGUUUGACUGGGGCGGUCUCCUCCUAAAGAGUAACGGAGGAGCACGAAGGUUGGCUAAUCCUGGUCGGACAUCAGGAGGUUAGUGCAAUGGCAUAAGCCAGCUUGACUGCGAGCGUGACGGCGCGAGCAGGUGCGAAAGCAGGUCAUAGUGAUCCGGUGGUUCUGAAUGGAAGGGCCAUCGCUCAACGGAUAAAAGGUACUCCGGGGAUAACAGGCUGAUACCGCCCAAGAGUUCAUAUCGACGGCGGUGUUUGGCACCUCGAUGUCGGCUCAUCACAUCCUGGGGCUGAAGUAGGUCCCAAGGGUAUGGCUGUUCGCCAUUUAAAGUGGUACGCGAGCUGGGUUUAGAACGUCGUGAGACAGUUCGGUCCCUAUCUGCCGUGGGCGCUGGAGAACUGAGGGGGGCUGCUCCUAGUACGAGAGGACCGGAGUGGACGCAUCACUGGUGUUCGGGUUGUCAUGCCAAUGGCACUGCCCGGUAGCUAAAUGCGGAAGAGAUAAGUGCUGAAAGCAUCUAAGCACGAAACUUGCCCCGAGAUGAGUUCUCCCUGACCCUUUAAGGGUCCUGAAGGAACGUUGAAGACGACGACGUUGAUAGGCCGGGUGUGUAAGCGCAGCGAUGCGUUGAGCUAACCGGUACUAAUGAACCGUGAGGCUUAACCU
Molecule: ribosomal RNA, 2903 nt
Filed under: Escherichia coli
Lineage: Bacteria; Pseudomonadati; Pseudomonadota; Gammaproteobacteria; Enterobacterales; Enterobacteriaceae
Description: 23S ribosomal RNA
Rfam family: Bacterial large subunit ribosomal RNA
Source: RNAcentral